Oryza nivara is the source of this 206-nucleotide non-coding RNA. NCBI's taxonomy places the organism in Eukaryota, Viridiplantae, Streptophyta, Magnoliopsida, Poales, Poaceae. The record is from Rfam.
AAAAAGAGUAGCUUUGCAUUGUUUAUGUUCAACUUGACCGUCCGUCUUAUUUGAAAAAAUUUUAUAAUUAAUAUUUUUGUUGUUAUUAAAUAAUAAAACAUAAACAGUAUUUUAUGUGUGACUAAUCUUUUUUAUUUGUUUAGUAAUUUUUUUAAAUAAGACGGACGGUCAAACGUUGGACGCGGAAACCCACGACUACAAUUAAA